CCAAACACAAACUUCCAGCCCUGUACCUGCCGCUAUCAAUCUACAAGUAGAGGAGAAAUAAUGGGAUGAGCUAUACAACCUAGUAAGCAGGUAUAGUAUUAUACAUUUGUGGUGGUGCUAUCCAUAUGUGACAAUAGUAUAGUUUAUCAAUAUAGAGUCAUAAUUUGGCAUAAAUGCAUAUCAAGUCAAGACAUCGAAUAUGAAUAUUUCAUUUAAACGGCAGUCAUCUCUAAAUCAGUGCGAUCAGAGCUUUCAAUUAAUGAAAUCAUAAAUCAUUCCAUCAUUAUAAUGCUAAACAUUCCUUAUAAAGAAAUUAAAUAAUUACCCACGCACUCCCUGAAUCACCUACUCCCGCAGUAGAGGCCCUAUGCAUCAGGCUAAGCCAAUCCCAUUGCUUAAGUCCUCUACCAUCACACAAGAGGGAGGGUAAUGACAAAUGGUGUAUCCACUUCGUAAUACCCUCAACACACUCACACAGUCCCCAGCGCGCAUUGGGGUUUCAAUAGACCCUUACCUUGCAAGGCAUCAAUCACAUAUCAUUUCAUAAUUCUUGGGUGCGACCCUUUAUCCUCUCCCUUAACCCUUUGCUAUCAAUAUGCAGGUUAGAGGAUAUGUCAGCAUCUCUUUUCUUACUGCUGAUGAGUGUCCCAUCAUGUAGCAGGUAAUAUCAUAGUAGCAUCCACUACUUGUGGGUGUCCCACUGCGUAGUGGCCAAUAUCCUCAUCAAUGUCUGGGUGAACCUAGCUCUGGCUAUCGAUGGGCUCGAGUCCCACCGUGUAGCUGCCAAUGUUCCCAUCAAUAAGUCCAAUAUCUGCUACCAAAGGGAUCGGGUCCUAAUGCAUAAUAGUCAACACUCUCAUUAAUAUAACAACACAGUGCUCACUACUUGGAAGUGUCCCACCACGUAAUGGUCAAUAACAAUAUAAGCAGUGGUCAUUCAUUGCCUCAUAACAAAUGAAUCAUAUUAUAUCAUAGCAUCACAGCAUUUAGAAAAAGACAUGCAUUCCAUAAGCUAUCACAGGGCAUUUACACAUAAGCUUUCUCAGUAGCAUUUGGCAUUCAUUGUUAAUUCAUUUCAUCAUUAUCGUGUUUAUGGCCCCUUUUUCUCACAAAGUACAGUUUAUAUGUCAUCAUUCACAUAUAUUUAUGGAAUUCUCAUGGAAUUUAUCAUAUGGCAUUCACAUUUAUCAUAUAUCAAGAGAACUUAGUGUCGCAUGCUCAUACAAUGAUGCGGUGACAAGUAACAGUGACAUGGCCCUCUUAGAGAGGGCGUAGCUCCCGAUGUAGGGGGAGUUUCAAGAUACCUCAAACAUAAGACCUUGAGCUAACACACAUUUCUUUACAAAAACAGUGAUUUGAAUAAAUUUAGGUGUCAUUUGAUGGUCAAUAGCUCAGUAUAAAAUGAGCCUUAGUUUCUGGAAAUUUCACUGCAACAGUGAGUAGUGACAUGUUCGCGCAAUUCGGCUCAUAGUUCAAAAUCCGUGGGGAGUUUCAAACAUCUCAAAACAUGCAACUUUAAAUAUAUUCGUACACCUUUACAAUGGCAGUAAUUUCAAGGUUUUUGGACACCAUUAGCUAGGUUAAAAGCAUUGCCCAAAGAAGGCCACAGUUGCUGGAAAUAACAGCGACUGUGAACAAUCUCAUUCCUCGGCAUGUAGGGCCAUAUCGUUUUAUCCAUACAAAAUAUUAUGAUGACAUAAAAGUAAAAUUGGAGUAUACACACAUCUCUUUCACUUGUGAUCGAUUUGCUCCUAUUUGGACUCCAUUUGGUCAUCAAACAUAUAGAUGCAAAAACAUUCACAGUCAUGGAAAUUCAUAUUCUCAAGUUAAUAUACUUUUAAAGAACCCUUAAUAUUUUCUAACCAAGCUACCCUUUGGGCUUGAAACCUUAUUCGUGAUAAGGAGUCUCAUAGUGAGCGAUUUCAUGAGUUUCCAUAAAUAAAAAGAUCAAACAUAUGGUAGACACAGUCAUGGCAUUGAGAAGCAAAAACUGAAACUUCAACCUCAUGUUAACCCAUUCAUUCUUCACAUUUUCCCUUAUAUCAUCUAAUCCAUUUCAACAUUUUUACAUCACUCAUGGAUGCAUAAACCUAAACCUACUUACCUUAACUUCUCACAGUAUCACAAAUCCUUACUCAUGGCCUUCACGGGUUUUCCUUGGCUUCACCAGUGGAUUGUCUUAAAAGGGGCAACAGUGAGCUCCAAGAGAGGGGAAAAGUUGAGAAAAAUGAGAGGGACCCGUGUUGCCAAAGGCUUAAAAGGGGAGGGUGGUUGGAAAACACUGUAGCUGACGCAAUCACUCAUUGCUCUGACACGUUACGGGCGGCUCUGACAUGCACAGAGGCUGUACGUUUGACUAAGACACUCCCAGCGCUACUCUCUUUUCUCUUCCAAUCGACGCUACUCUCUUCUCUUCCAACCGGCGUUGUUCUCUUCUCUUCUAACUGACACUGCUCUCUCUUCUCUUCUAAUCGGCGCCGCUCUCUCUUCUCUUCCAACCGGUGCUACUCUCUUUUCUCUUCUAAUCGAUGCUGCUCUCUCUUGUCUUCCCACCGACAUUGAUCUCUCUUGUUUUCCAACCGGUGCUGCUCUCUCUCUUUCCGAUCUCUCUUCUCUUCCAAUCGGCACUGUUCUCUUCUCUUCCAAUCGGCACUGCUCUCUCUUCUCUUCCAACCGGUGGUACUCUCUCUUCUCUUCCAACAUGCACUGUUAUCUCUCUUCUCUUCCAAUUGUCACUGAUCUCUCUUCUCUUCCAAUCGACGCUGCUCUCUCUCCAACCGGCAUUGAUCUCUCUUGUCUUCCAUCCGGUGCUUCUCUCUCUCCUCUCGUCCCUUCCAACCGGUGCUAAUCUUUCUUCUCUUCCAGCCAACGUUGUUCUCUUCUAUCUCAAUCGGCACUGCUCUCUCUUCUCUUCCAACUGGCGUUACUCUCUCUUCUCUUCCAACCUGCACUGCUAUCUCUCUUCUCUUCCAAUCGUCAAUGAUCUCUCUUCUCUUCCAAUCGGUGCUGCUCUCCCUCCAACCGGCGCUGAUCUCUCUUCUCUUCCAACCGACGCUACUCUCUCUUCUCUUCCAACCAGUGUUGCUUUCUCUCUUCUCUUCCAACUGACGUUGAUCUCUCUUCUCUUCCAACCAGCAUUGUUCUCAUCUCUUCCAACCAGUGCUAAUAUCUCUUCUCUUCCAACCGGCACUGCUCUUUAAAAUGAGAGUGGCAAUUCCUUAGACGAUAAUACUCCAUACGCCUUUGGCGCAUGGCAAAAAUCCUUACGCGUUCUCGCUCGACAUUACAUAUUUCUUCUCCUGUGGUGAUACUGUCUUGGGAGAAACUCGUGGCCCUUACACAAGCCUAUCGUUGCCUAUGUUUUCCCUCUCUUUCUUCUCUUCUGUCACAACCGGUGCAAGCCUAGCUCCACCUGUGUUUUCCAUCCUUUUUUCUUCUAUCAUAGACGGCGGAAGCGUAUCGCUGGCUGUGUUCUCCCUCUCUCCACUUUCUUCUGACACAGCCGACACAACCUAUUACCGCUUGUGCUCCUUCUCUUUCUCUUUUUUCAUAGACGGUAGAAGUAAAUUGCCGUCUGUGUUCUUUUUCGCUGUUCUCUCUUUAUGUCACAGCCAGUGCAAGCCUGUUGCCGCCUGUGUUUUCUCCUCACUUUUCUUCCUCAUGUCAUAGCAGGUGAAAGCCAUCGUCGUUUGAGUCUUCUCUCUCCCCAUCUCAUUGCUGUCUAUGUCCUCCUUCCCUUCUCUCUCUUCUUCUCUCAUUGUUUUCUCUCUUACUAUGUUUCUUCUUCUCUUGUCUCUUCUUUUCUUCUUCUGCUUCUCCUCUCUCUCUCUCUUUCUGUUCUUAUUCUUUCUUUCUCUUACCCUUUCGUUUGACCAAGAGAGGUGGAGACUAGCAUUCAUAGUAGUCCAGUUGUCUAGCAGUAAUGUCGUUGUGCCAGUCCGAGUUACUGUUCUCGCUUUACUAUCUCAACGAACUAACCAUCGUAUCAAGCUAAUCAAUAUUGAUACAAUCAUCUAGUAGAUUAUGUUCAGCCGGUAUGAGUAACCGAGCCCGAUUUACUGCCACGUUGGGUUAGUUACUUACGAGUUUCGCCACUGUGUCAAUCUCACCAUCUGCUCCAAUUCUUCUAAUCCUAAUCUUUCUUAUCUCACUCUUCUCUUCCCCGUUUUUUUGAAUGUGCAUGCCUGUGUACAUUCCCCAAAGGCAAGGUGGGGUCCCUUGACCCACUUGUCUUGUAACAUUUGCCAUAUGUAUGUGAUUGUAGAAACCGGAGAAUACAUGCCAAGGGAGGCGAUUCUAAACCAAUUUUACUACUGGGGGGCUUUCUUUGUGAUCUAAGAGAGCGCCCAUGAGAGCCAGCCCGAGUAAGUCCCAUACCUACCUUAAACUCCUCUCUCAUCGGUUGGUUUACCUGCCUUUGUUUUUUAGUAAGGUUCCCGAGAGAGCGAUCUCAAGUCCCGGGUUCCCUUGAAACCCGAGACGCAUGCCACUCGAUCAUCUAGAUUCGAAGGACGAGAUCGAGGCACCUAACUAGAUUGGCAACUCCACUGAGGACUUACUACCCCUUAUUCAGAUUGUACUUGUUUGGCUAGUUUCUCCUUUUCCUUUCUGUUUUUAGCACUUAUGGCUUCUGGGUUCUGUAACCCGUUUAUCCAGAUUGAGGACUUCCUUAUCCCCGCAUUCGUGACUGUUCCCAAGGAACAAGUUCCUCCAACUUCGUUCCCAACAUUCCUUUUGACUAAAGACCCUGUGUCUAGCUCUCAGGUCCUAACCUGGAUGGGUGUGAGGUGGGACUUAAUGUCCCUCACUCCCCAUCUCCUCGCUCUGGUGGCACCCUACAUAGGCGGCACACACUCCACAACUCAAAGCAUGCACCCUGUUACCGGCAAGUCACGUGUCGGUCUUAUUGCCGAGGUACAUCGAUAGGCUGCCCAGUCCUUUACAGUAAAAGGCAAACAAGUUUUCGUUGCUUCUAUGCAUCGCCGUAAGGUUUGCCCCCACACUUCUCCACCACCACGAGUCUCUAUCCCUAGAGGCUCAACACAUCGAGGCGAAGACCCGCACACACCUUAAGGCUCAUGCACCUCCCACUCGAGUCACACCUCGGGGCAACCCUCGUAUUGCCUCAAGCCAGUGUUCAGGAUCGGGCCUCCUUGAGCUAGGUCCUGUACGCGCUAUGCAUGUGCAUCGCACCUCUCGGGACAAAGCUAUCGCUGCACCAAACCAAGUACAUAGGGGACAACUUCCUCAGCCUCCUACUCAUCACACACUAGUGCACCCUAUAAGGGGCAGGCUUCCACCUGUUUCCUUACAAACACAUGCUCGCGAUUCUUGGCCCCCUAAGGCCAGCCAAUCUGCUCGAGCCCAGGAUGACCCCAAAGUUGCCCGUGAUCCUUCUUCAAGGAGCGCACACAUGUCGCCUCCCCAAACUGUUGUUCCCUGCUUCCGACUCAGGCAUCAUCGUGAGUCAAUCAUUCCACCGCUUGCCCCAUCUCUUUCGGGCAUGCACCUCAAACCUUGGUACUCAAAGACGUUCCAACCGUUUUAUCUCGGUCAGGCCUUUGGAGCCUAUAAGAGAGCUCGGGGAAAAGACCUCAUGAGAGACGUUGUCCUUCUUCUCCCUCGACCCAGGCUGACUUUAGUCCCUGGCCCUCAUCCUUUGCCGCACUUGAUGGAGAUAGCUCUCUCUAGCACAAGACGAGUUGACUAGUCAACUCGCAGUCCCAUUCAAAAUUUUAGCAUGAGAUCCAUCAAAGUCUCAACAUCAAGAGCGAUAGGGGUCUGCGAAUUCUGACUAGAGAAGGAGUCAAGACAGUCGGGACACCCAGCUCUGACAACCUUCUUCACCAGAAUCCCUUCUACCCUCUUCGGAAGACAAACCUUAAAGAAGAGGAACAAGAAUUCUGUGUCGUGGUUAAUGUUGUUGAACAUGACCCGGCCACCCAGCAGCCACGGUCCCAAGACUGUUGAGAACCAGUCGUUACCUGCUCAACAUACAAGAGUCGGAUCCAGUCAGAGCAUGCUAAUCCCCUACUGACUGACUUGCCACGUGCGACCCGUCAAGCACAAAAACCUUCGACUGCAUCCAAGCCUAACCUCUCUAGAGAAGGUCAUGGUUAUAAAUGAACCAGCCUACUCUUAGGAGGCCCGUAUGGAAAGGUUUGAAUAUAUGGUCCAAGUCAUGAUGGACAAGAUCGACCGUAUGGAGGUCGCCCGGCACUCGGCUAACCAUGAGGUCAAUUUCCGUCAUUCGAAAGAUGUACCUCCCAGGCAGCCUCCUACUUCUGCCUUACAGGACAAUUCUGUCCCUCACCCCUUCUCUCAAGAAGACAUUGAUGUUAUGGUAGCUCACAACCUGAAGAACAGGCAGAUCCUAGGCAUACAGGACGCGACGCUUUACCACAAGUCGUACCCUUAUUACAUUAAUUAGGUUCCCGUCCCCCAGGACUAUAAGAAAGGGAAGUUUCCUUGCUUCGAUGGAACAACAUCCCCCCAUCAACAUAUCGCCCAUUUUCAAGCAGCAUAUCGAGAGACAACGGCUGACGGGAGACUCCUUCAUCAGUUCAUUGAAACCCUUGACAACCCUACCUUCCAGUGGUAUGCUCGACUGCCUCCAAACUCAGUACGUACUGGGGAGGAGAUGGAGAAAUUGUUCUAUCAGUGUUUUUAUGAGGUCGAGAGGGAGGUCCAAACCAUUGAACUUCUCACCUUGACCCAAGAGCUAGAUGAAUCGGUGGAUAAACUCAUAUCAAGGUGGAGAGAUCUGACAGCUCGUCAUCCCAAUCCUAUGCCUGAGGAGGCAAUUCAAACCUAUGUUCGAAAUAUGCGACCUGAGAUCACUCUACAUGUUGAGGCCUCUAACCCAACCUCCAUGUCAGACCUAAUCUCUAAGUCAGUUCACAUAAAGAUCUUGUCACGUGAUCGUAAUGGGUCACGACAACAGUCUUCAAAUUUGGCAAACAACUGGGGCAAUGGUAAUUCUUGAGCCAACGCUCGGGGAAACCAACAAAACGGAGUGAUAAGUGAAGAUGUCACAGUUAAUGAUCCAAAGAAGGUCACCUCCUAAACUUCAGACCUUUCCAAAGCUAUCGGCACAACAAAGACAACACCUCAGACAAGCGAACAGCAUAAGUCAUAGAAUCAGGUGCCUCCGCCCGCGAACCUUAAUCGAAGUGAAUAUUGGAUCGCUCAGCAGGAUAACGUUUAUCCCUUUGAAAAUGAAUGGGUGUUUGUAUUGCUUUAACUCCUGUUGGAGCAGAACAUGAUUGAAUUACCCGAGAGCAGGUUUCCCGACCAAGCUGGUCUUGAUACGCACUCAAGGUACAGUGCUUAUCAUCGAAGGGUAAAUUACCUCACGGAGGACUGUUGUACACUUAAAGACCUCAUCGAGGCUUUGAUCCAGAAGGGUCAGAUUAAGCUUGAGGAACUCAAGAAGGUGUUCGAGGCUACAGAAGCCUCGCACAUAGUGGCCGUCGAUGAAGAAGACAAUGUGCUUGAUCUCCUUCGAGCCUUCUUUCUCAUGAUGCUUCAACUAGGCCUUAUCACACCAAAGCCAACAAGGCAACCCAAACGCCUUGCUAAGGGAACAUAAAACAAGUGGUGCUCAUACCAUUAGAUAUGGGGACAUGAUCUGAGUGAAUGCUCUUGUUUUCAUGAGAUAUAUGCGAAUAAAAUACUGGAAUGCAAUGAAUCUUAUAACCUUCCACAAGGGGACCCCCAGAUCAUGGCUCCACCGGUGUCAGAGGAGCUCCCGAUAUAAGACCUAGUUAAUGAUGAUUUGGAUUCUGCUAAACCCUCAACUUCCCAACCAUGAAUACUCUAUCAUGGGUGAAGCAAACUUAAGUCGCUAAGAUGAGAGGCUAUCCGUCACGCUAGGGCUAUUCACAAACCUAGUGAGAUGAAUCAAGCACCUCCAAACGCACUGAAGAUGAGACUGGCCCCAAGAAGGUCUCGCAGAAGGAACAAUCCUCCUCAAUCGUCUAUCGAGCAAGAGUUCCUGCCUCUUCCUCGCUUGCCGACUUUGCAAGAUUUUAUCCUUGACGCAAUCAUCCUUUACCUUCACCUCAUAAGGAGGACACCCUAAGGUCAUCCCUCACUCAACACACGUCCAAUGAGUGUGAUGACGUUAAAAGAACUUCCCAACGGUCUAAGUAGGAGAAAGACCUAAAAGAGUACCUGCGCAUGUCCAAUUCUGGUGAUGACGUAAAAAGCUGCCCAAAUAGGUCCAACGAGGGGAAUGACCAUAAAUCCCCCACACCUACUAACUCAUCUUCUUCUUCUUCUUCCCCUCCACCUCUUCGGUGUCUCCUGUAGGUACAGCCUUGCAAUGUCCAGACUUCGACGCCCUUGAUCGAGAAUUUGAAGGAAUCAACAUAAACAGGAUGUAUCGGAGGCAGCUGAGAAAGACGUUAGCCCAGACAGUUGUAUUCUUAACAGUUCCUGACACCCUGACGGCUCAAGAUCGCUUUGAGCCAUCUUCCUCUGCUGUAAUGCGUAGGAGGUCCAAGCCAAAGAAACCCAGUGGCCCCAUGAGCCCGACUUUGAGCAGAGACUGAGAUAAUCAAGAGGGAAGCGCUUCUAUUCUCAGGAAGCUUGCCACAUGCUACAAGUCUAUGAAGUAUCAGCCAGUACAGGACAAACACUACAGAUACCUAUGCAAAAAUUGAACGAUUCUUAUGAAGGUGCUUUUGGCCCCACAACCACUGAAUCUCAACCUCCUUGUGACUUUCAAAUCGAACCCUUACUGCUUGAUAUGUUGUCCAUGUUUGAGGUUGACCCUCUUGUCCCUCGUUCGAUGAUGGUGCAGAAAUCAUGACCAACCCUGGGGCCCUCUUAGAAGUAAAGAUGUCAAGAUCAUCAGUCUCUGCAUAUGAGGUUAAUGAAAAGACCUCUGAGGCCAAUGAUGAAAAGAUGCUAGAAGCCCCAGAAGAAUGGGAAGAAGGUGGUCAAGCCACAAUAGAUGAACUUGAGGAGAUAAAUUUAGGGGAUGAAACUGAUCCCAGAUCCACUUUCAUCUCCAUGAAUAUGUCUCCAAAAGAGAAAGAGAAUUUCACUACUUUCUUGUGAUCAAACCAAGAUUUCUUUGCCUGACAUUACCAUGAGAUGCCUUGUCUAGACCCUCAAGUCGUCGUUCACCGCCUUGGCAAAGAUCCGACUGUCAAACCUGUCAAACAGAAAUCAAGGAGGUUUAGGCCUGACCUCGAAAUAGCAGGCAUCAUUCGUGAAGUCAAGUACCCGAAAUGGCUAGUAAAUGUUGUUCUAGUCAAGAAGAAGAAUGGCCAAAUCAGGGUUUGCACUGACUUCCAUGACCUUAAUACCGCAUGUCCCAACGAUGACUUCACGUUGUCAUUCACCGAGAUGCUCAUCGAUUCUACAACUCACUGCAAAAUCUUUUCCUUCAUGGAUGGAUACUCCGGGUAUAAUUAGAUAUGGAGAUGAGGAAGCCACCGCGUUCUUUACCCCAAAAGGAGUCUUCUGUUACAUGAUGAUGCCUUUUGGAUUGAAGAAUGUCGGUGCCACAUAUCAGAGAGCAAUGGCGACCAUCUUCAAAGACAUGAUGCACAAAGAGGUGGAAUGUUUUGUAGAUGACUUGGUGGUGAAAUCCGAAGAGAAAGAUUCUCAUAUGAGAGAACUUGAAAAGGUGUUUGAGUGAUUAUGCCUGCAUCAGCUCAAAAUGAACCUGCUAAAGUGUGCUUUUGGCGUGCGUUCAGGAAAGUUCUUAAGGUUCAUUGUUAGACAUCGGGGGCUUGAAGUUGAACCUGUCAAGAUCAAGGCAAUCCAAGAAAUGUCGUCACCAACUACGCUGUGAGAACUAUGCUCUCUUCAAGGGCAGCUGGCAUACAUCCAUAAGUUCAUCUCAAACCUCUCAGGUCGCUAUAAACCCUUUACGCACCUGUUAAAGAAAGAUACCCCAUUCAUCUGGGAUGAAGCUUAUCAUGCGGCCCUUGAUGACAUUAAGCAUUAUUCAUACUUGACCGCUCUAGAGGAGCCACCUGAGGCAUUGUUGGUGUAGAACAAUGACGAAGGAAAAGAGACCGCACUAUACUAUCUCAGCCGCAGGAUGCAAGGGGCUGAGAAGAAUUAUCCCCCUAUAAAAAAAAGGUGCUUGGCCCUAAUCUUCAUAGUACAAAAGCUUCGUCAUUAUUUACUUGGUCAUGAAGUGAAACUUAUAUCAAAAGCAGAUCCUGUAAAGUUUCUCAUGACACGCCCAUGCCUAUCAAGGCGGCUUGCUAAGUGGGCAUUAUUGCUAAUGCAAUUUGACAUCACAUAUGUCCCACAAAAGGCCAUCAAGGGCCAAGCCCUAGCUGGUUUUCACACAGCACACCCCUUAUCGGUGAAAUUUCCUUUAUCGAGUGAUCUCCCUGACGAAAAGUGUUAUGUGCAUAACUUACUCAUGCGUGGAAAUGUGCUUUGACGGAGCCUUCCAAUCUGACCGAGGAGGCACCGGAGUAAUAUUCCUGACUCUGAAAGGAGGAGUAUUGUCACUUUCUUUCUUUCUCGACGAGACUGGUUAUCAUAACGAGGCAGAAUAUCAGGCCCUUAAAAUUGGUUUGGAGAUAGCCUUUGAUCUAGACUUGGAACAGCUCAAUAUCUAUGGAAACUCUGAGUUGGUUAUUCGACAACUCAAGGGAAUAUAUGAUGUAAGAAAAGACACCCUCAAGCCUUUUCAUGACACUGCAAAAUUGUAUAUGGCCUAGUUUGUGGAUGUAUCAUUGAGUCACAUUCCCAGAAGACUAAACUCACAAGCUGAUGCACUUGCAAAACUCGAGGCUACAAUUCAAUUAUCCAUAUCAGGACCCACGCUUAUCUGGGUGGCAGAAUGGAGACACAUUGAACUAAGAAUCAAGGUAGAUGUGGAUGAUGAGAGAAAUCUCUUCCACAAAUGCCCUCCUUAUCCAUUCUGAGCACUUCUAUCAGCUAAGAAGUAAUCAAGACUGAGCAAGAAAUGUCACGGAGUCAAGGAGCUAAUGUUUGAAACCAAGAACCAGAAUUCUUCGACCCAAUAUGCGUGGAAAUUGAACCGGUAGAAUAUUAGAGAGAGCCUAUCACUAAUUUCCUAAAACAUGGCAGGCCCUCAAAAGAUCGUGUCGAACACAACAGUGUGCAUCGAAUGUCUACCAAGAAUACCCUCCUUGAAGGACAUGCUCUCUUCAGAUGGUCAUUUGAUGGUAUUCUCCAUAGAUGUGUGGACGCGCAAGAGGAAACUAAGGUGUUGGAAGAAGUACACUCAGGAAAUUGUGGACUACACCAAUUCGGUCCUAAACUCUAUGAACGGAUAUGCAAAUUGGGGUAUUAUUGGCCUUCGAUAAUUGCUAAUUCUUUAAACUAUGCUAAAAAGUACUAGGUGUGCCAAAUACACUCAACUCUUCUUCACCAGCCUCUAGAACCCCUACACCCUAUAGUGGCAUCAUGGCCUUCUCACAAUGGAGUAUGAACAUUAUAGGGCCUAUUGACCUUCCUUCAGCAAUGGGUCAUGUCUUUAUUCUAGCUGCAACUAAUUAUUUCUCUUAGUGGGCUUAAGAGGCACCCUUAAAGCAAGUUCUUGGGACAACAGUAGCUAAUUUUGUGCGACAUCAUAUAAUAUACCGGUUUGGGGUGCCUGACCAGAUUAUAUCAGCCAAUGGCCCUCAAUUUAGAAGUCAUCAUAUUGAUCGCUGGUUAACCAGUUCGGCUUUGAAUGGAGGUACUCAACUAUGUAUCACCCACAAGCCAACAGAUUAGCUGAGGCUUUCAAUAAGAGCCUGUGCAACAUUUUACGUAAAAUCAGUAUCAAAGAAGAAGAAGAACUGGCAUGAGAAGCUUCCUGAAGCCUUGUGGGCCUAUUGCACUACCACACGAAAUGCCACCGGUUCUACUCCUUACUCCCUAGUCUAUGGGGGGAAAGCAGUUUUACCUCUUGAAAUUCAAAUCCCUUCAUUGCGUAUCGCUAUGCAUCAAGGACUAACCGAAGAUAAGCGAGUCAAACUUCGGUAUCAAGAAUUAGAUGCACUCGAUGAAAAGAGGUUGGACGCUUAGCAGAACCUCGAACUAAAGCAGGGGAGAAUGAAGAGGGCUUUUGACAAGUCAGUCAAGGUCCGCUCAUUCGCUUGUGGGGAUCUAGUUCUGGCCGUUAAGAGGCCGAUUGUUAUGCAUGGCCGACAUAAAGGGAAGUCUGAACCCAAGUGUGAAAAACCCUUUAUAGUAAAACGUUUCGUAUUUCGUUUUAUGGAGCUUACAUAAUAGCACAUCCUGAUAGAGAGGAGGCAAUGCGCCCUAUCAAUGGGCGAUAGCUAAAGAAACACUACUGAUGAUGCAUACUCAAAAGACUUGAUGCGCAACAACAAAAAAGUUAAAAAGGAAGGUAAAAUGAAAACAAACAAGACAGUCCAAAAACAAAAUUUAACUCUUUUUAUUACCUUAAAAAGGAGUUACAAAUUAAAAUCGAAAGCCCAUUAUUAGGAAAGUUACAAAUCUCUUGCAUUAAAGGAAAAAAGAACAGUUGACACCCACAGUGUUGCUUCUACAUCUGAGGAUAAGAGGAUGGUUACAGGCCUAAAAGAAAUUCUCCCCUCAUGAAGAAGAAGCAAAACCACCAAAGAAAUGCUCUCCUCAUGAAGAAGAAGCAGAACUACUUGGAGAGUCAACUUCAAUUCAGCUGACGAGUGUCUUCAAAGAGAAUGGUUACAGGCCAAAAGAAGAAGUCAGCUUCAAUUCAUCUAAUGAGUGUAUCAAACUGGUUAGGUGCCUCGAUCUUGCCUCUCUGGAUCUAGGUGAGCGAGUGACACUUGUCUAGGGUUUGGAAGACCCGGGACCUGAGAUCGCUCUCUUAGGAACCUUGUUCACAGUACAAGGGCAAAUACCCAACUAGUGAGAGACGAAUUUGGGUCCUGAGGUGGGACUUACCUCAUGUGGGUCCAUGACACACUCGGGCUGGCUUGCGUGGGCGCCUUUUUAGAUCACGUUGGAAAGCCCCCUGGCCUAUGGCCGGUUUGGAAUCGCCUCCCUUGACAUGUUUCUCCUUUCCUGUAAAUACACAGAUAUUAGAAGUACCGACAAGUGGGGCAUGGUCCCCCACCUUGUUACAGGAUGAAAUAAAAAUGAGAAAGAUGAAUUAAAAUAAAAAUAAAAAUAAAUAAAAAAAAAAUUAGAAAAUAGAAUUAGGAUUAUAUUGGAAUGAAGUGAAGUGAAAUAAAAAUGGAUAACAUAAUAGAGAUCAAUGAAAUAAACUAAAAGAAAGGAGUAAAAUGGGAUAAAAUAAAAGGGAAGGGGUGGAAGAAGUAAAUAGGAUGGUUUAAGAGAGAGACGUGGACGACAUUGCGUGAAAGGAGUGGACGACACGAAACGAAAGACGAGAAAAGAAAACAGGGGAAAUGGGGUCGUUCAUUUAUGGGUUGUUAGGGUGAGCAAGCGAAGGUUGCAGGGAGGCGAAUAAGACGCACGAGCUUACAAAAGAUUGGGACGAGAGAAGAGCGCGAGGUUGGUUGCUGCAGGGCGGAACGAUAGUCGGAGGAGAGGGACCUGGUUGUUGCUGCUAAUGGCGAGGUUGCGAGAAGAGGAAGGAAGACGGAAAUUGGUGGUGAAUAUGGAGCAACAAUGGUGACGGAGAUGGGACAGCAGUCGUGGCCGAAAUGGGUGGAAAAGCUGGGCGGAGAUGGAUGUAGGGGGUAGGCCGAGAUAUGUGGGAGAGGAUUGCAGGUGAAGAUGCUGCUGCAAUUGGCGUGGAUGAAGUGGAGGGGCGAAAUGGGCAGCAGUUGCAGCACAAGGUAUCUGCGAUUGAGAGGUGAAAGAUGGGGGAGCUGUACGAGGUGGCUGUGGCGAAGAAGGAGGAGCAAGAUUGGGGAGGUGCUGGAGAUGGUUGAGAGCAGGGGGGAGCUGAUAUUUGGUGAAGACAGAGGUAACAGGUGAAGUCUUGUUGUGAUUGAGAGGAGAAAGAACGAGGGAGCGGCAGUGUGGUGCAGCAGAGAGAGAUGAAGGUGGCCGAGGUUGAUCGCAGGUGAGUGAAGAUGGAAGCCGAGAAAGAGAAGGGCGAUCAACUGCUGGUCAGGGGUAGCGAGAUGUGGUGAAAAAAGAGGCGAAUUUUGCAGGCUAGAGGACAAGGCUGAGCGACGAAAGAGAGGAACGGUAGUAGGCAGCAGUGAAAGUGAGGCCGUGAGAUGGUGGCUGCCGGCGAUCGGCCUCAGUGGCGCACGGCGAUGGGGGAGGACAGAACGCACAUGGAACUGAGGGGAGAGGAGCGCGCACGGCGAUAGGGUUAGGAAAGGGGCACACGGCGAUAGGGUUAGGAAAGGGCGCACGACGAUAGGUUGGAGGGUGGCACUAGACGACGCUGGGGUAUGUUGUGCCCACGGUGAUAGGCGAGAUGUUCGCGCCGACGAUAGGUAGAGGUUCGCACGGCGUCAGGGGAAGAAGGAUUUGGGGCAAAGGUGGUCACAUGAGACCACAUGACAUAAAAGGUGGGAAGUCACCACAAGGCACCAAAAAAGGUGCUGGACAAUAAUGCUCAAAAAGAGAGGUAUGAAUAUCAGGGACCAGAAAAAAGAGGAGGUGGACCUGAGGUUCUACAUAUAGAAAGAUCAUGCAGUUAGCAUAACAAAAAGGACAAGAAGAUAGGUGGUCACGAGGGACUACAAAGAGGGAAUGAGAGAAUAAGAAAGUAAAAAAGAAUGACACAUACGGCGAUANNNNNNNNNNNNNNNNNNNNGAGAAGUGAGAAGAGAGAGAAAGGGAAACUUUAAGCCCAAGGGUACCGACUCAAAAAUUUGUCCUUCUUUCCUCUCCAUCUUAAGACGUGACCCAACAAUAGGCAAGAUAAAAAUUUUAUUAAGCAAGUAAAGGGUUUGCGUACAAUGGUAGUACAUAGUAUAUAUAAUAUUGUGCCCAAAUAUGGGUGGAUAUUGAUCAAAAUUAAGUCUAAUUGUUGUAAAUUAAGAUUUAAAUGAAUUAAAAAAAAUAGAAAACAGGGUACAAAAUGACAGAUUUGCCCCUUCUUAACAAGUUGUGGAAUUUCAAAACAGUCAUUGUGCCCUAGAACGUGCAUGAUUUUUCAUAGAUUAUUUAGGGUUGUUUUGAUACCUGUUUGAUUGAAAGAUGAUUGUUUUCUUGUAGAGCUCGACAUGACGUUCGAUUUGAUACCAACUUCAAGCUAUGAAUCGUAUUUUUAGAGCACGAUCAUGUGACCUGAAAUUUGAAUAAAUCUUGAAACUUUGGAUCAAUUGUGUGCUCGUUCCAUGAUGUUUUUCUAUGAUUUCUUUGUUGGAUCACACUAAGCAUGCUGUCACGAUUGUGGAGCAAUAAACGCAGCUCGAUUCCGUGCUUGGACGAAGAUUUUUCAACUUUGGAGUUUUUGCCUAAAUCUGGAAUUCCGACGAUGGAAUUUGCAGUCGCUUCAUCUGCUUCGUGUGCGAAAU
RNAcentral lists this long non-coding RNA (15386 nucleotides) under Amborella trichopoda. RNAcentral's name for it is "long non-coding RNA (ATRI_LNC001633)". The record is from RNAcentral. Lineage: Eukaryota; Viridiplantae; Streptophyta; Magnoliopsida; Amborellales; Amborellaceae.